This 113-nucleotide transfer RNA is filed under the name Colletotrichum higginsianum. RNAcentral describes it as "tRNA CH063_16387". It matches the Rfam family "tRNA". Rfam says of the family: Transfer RNA (tRNA) molecules are approximately 80 nucleotides in length. Their secondary structure includes four short double-helical elements and three loops (D, anti-codon, and T loops). RNAcentral also lists the same sequence under 1 other name. Lineage: Eukaryota; Fungi; Ascomycota; Sordariomycetes; Glomerellales; Glomerellaceae. The record is from Rfam by way of RNAcentral.
GGGCGCUUGGUCUAGGGGUAUGAUUUUCGCUUCGCAUCUUCUUCUGAGUUCUUUCGAGAUCUUCAGAUGCGCUGUUCUGUGAAAGGUCGUGGGUUCAAUUCCCACAGUGUCCA